UAUGAUUUUAUGAUUUCUUCUUUUUUUUAAUUCUCUUCUGAAACUAUCAGCCUGCUAAACCGCUAACCAGUUAACUCUAAGCAACAGCGGGCAGUAAUGAAGGUUUCUGUGUGAUAUCUAAAUCCAAUAUCCUGAGCGCAUCUGACAUUUUCUUGCAAUUUCCAUACUGAAUUCGACUGGCGAUAGCGCAUUUCAAGAUUUCCAUUUCCAUUUCAAACCAUGGUAGAAAGUGUGCCACAUACUGCCAGCAUCCACGUACAUGUACCUGUGUAUGUGUGACCUCUUCAAUGGGUUUGGUGAUGAUACAGCCACUUGUGCCCUUGUCUAUCUCUGUAUAUGUUUAAUGUUAAUCCUCCAGCAGACGGUUGUUAGAGUUGACAAUUUUAUGUUCCCAGUUGGCGGAGUACCGGUAUGAGCCCUUCGCAGGCAUACAGUUAACAAUUUAAUGUCCGAUGUUCCUGAUUGCUGCUUACUGUGUGCUCUAUGAUGGUGGGAAUAUAACUCCGUUUCAGAUGAUACUGGAAAUAGCUUUCCAAAGUCUAGUUAAUCUCAAUAUGUUGAAGUAUGACCAGUAGACAAUUGACCAAUUCUCCUGGCACUGGCUGCUAUUGGCCGCACUGAUCUUAGGUCUAACACCCUCCCCUCCCCUCCCCUCCCGCUAUUGCCUGGCAUGUCAUUUAUCUCAGCCUGCUUUCCCACAUCAUGAUACAAUGGGUGAUAUUUCUUCUGUGUGUGUGUGUGUGUGUGUGUGUGUGUGUGUGUGUGUGUGUGUGUGUGUGUGUGUGUGUGAAUGCUGAGCAACGUGCGGAUGGAUUGCCACGAGCAUUCAAGUCGACUUCUCAAUCACCGCCUACCGGACAGCAUUCCAUUCCACUGUCAUCACCUCGCAGAAUUUGCUAGGCCUCUGGAUAUUCUAUUGUGAUUGCUAUGGAACAGCACCAGGCAUUGCUCACAACCAAAAGUCAGAUGUCGGGCUGAAGUACAUCCUACGCAAAGCGCCAGCAACUGAAAAACACCCAUGCCAAGCAUUGUUAGCCAGCCCGCUCCACUGCCAGCAGGACAACGCAGGUCAGGCUACGAGUUCAGAACUGUUUGUUCAUCGGCACAGUGGACCAAGGCUUCUUCAUCAAGAACUUGGCUGCUGCUGCCGCCCACCCUCUUUCCCACAGCCGAGUUUGCCAUGGACAACCCUGUGGAGGCUGGGAAAUAGGAUUUGCCGCGGUGUCGUGAUAAGUAUCCAUUUGAGCUCCUUCAAACCUCACAGCUAUUAUGCCGUUGUACUUUGAAGUAUACUUUACAGUCCGUUUGGUAAAAAUCACAUUUGCAGCUAGGAAAUCCCAACAUAGGCCGGGUUUAGGCUGGAAAGCCCCAGUCAAACGCUUUCAAAAUACUAGACUUACAACUUCAUUUGGAUCCUGUCAGCAAGAAAACCCAGACUCCCUGGACUGACUCAGUGCAACCUCAAAUGUGAACAAGAAGAGUCUGCACGACCCAUAUAUUGAAGGAUUUUCGGCUAUUUGCAUUGUUUCUGCCACUAUACGAAUGAGGAGGCAGUGGAGAGGCCAGA
This is a long non-coding RNA of Sycon ciliatum, 1567 nucleotides long. RefSeq lists it as uncharacterized. The transcript has 3 exons. The record is from RefSeq and is a predicted model, not a curated record. Lineage: Eukaryota; Metazoa; Porifera; Calcarea; Leucosolenida; Sycettidae.